RNAcentral lists this ribosomal RNA (253 nucleotides) under uncultured bacterium. RNAcentral describes it as "partial 16S ribosomal RNA". It matches the Rfam family "Bacterial small subunit ribosomal RNA", at positions 524 to 776 of the family's 1533-position model. The record is from RNAcentral.
UACGUAGGGUGCGAGCGUGUCCGGAAUUAUUGGGCGUAAAGGGCUCGUAGGCGGUUUGUCGCGUCGGGAGUGAAAACCAGGUGCUUAACACCUGGCUUGCUUUCGAUACGGGCAGACUAGAGGUAUUCAGGGGAGAACGGAAUUCCUGGUGUAGCGGUGAAAUGCGCAGAUAUCAGGAGGAACACCGGUGGCGAAGGCGGUUCUCCUGGGCCGUAACUGACGCUGAGGAGCGAAAGCGUGGGGAGCAAACAGG